RNAcentral lists this ribosomal RNA (144 nucleotides) under uncultured bacterium. RNAcentral's name for it is "partial 16S rRNA". It matches the Rfam family "Bacterial small subunit ribosomal RNA", at positions 353 to 511 of the family's 1533-position model. The record is from RNAcentral.
UGGGGUAAGUUUUCCGUCAAUGGGCGAAAGCCUGACAGAGCAAUGCCGCGUGGAGGUGGAAGGCCUACGGGUCGUCAACUUCUUUUCUCGGAGAAGAAACAAUGACGGUAUCUGAGGAAUAAGCAUCGGCUAACUCUGUGUCAG